CCUACGGGAGGCAGCAGUGGGGAAUAUUGGACAAUGGGGGGAACCCUGAUCCAGCCAUGCCGCGUGUGUGAAGAAGGCCCUCGGGUUGUAAAGCACUUUCAGUGAGGAAGAACGCCUGGUGGUUAAUACCCAUCAGGAAAGACAUCACUCACAGAAGAAGCACCGGCUAACUCCGUGCCAGCAGCCGCGGUAAUACGGAGGGUGCGAGCGUUAAUCGGAAUUACUGGGCGUAAAGCGCGCGUAGGUGGCUUGAUAAGCCGGUUGUGAAAGCCCCGGGCUCAACCUGGGAACGGCAUCCGGAACUGUCAAGCUAGAGUGCAGGAGAGGAAGGUAGAAUUCCCGGUGUAGCGGUGAAAUGCGUAGAGAUCGGGAGGAAUACCAGUGGCGAAGGCGGCCUUCUGGACUGACACUGACACUGAGGUGCGAAAGCGUGGGUAGCAAACGGGAUUAGAUACCCCUGUAGUC
Molecule: ribosomal RNA, 465 nt
Filed under: Vreelandella stevensii
Lineage: Bacteria; Pseudomonadati; Pseudomonadota; Gammaproteobacteria; Oceanospirillales; Halomonadaceae
Description: partial 16S ribosomal RNA
Rfam family: Bacterial small subunit ribosomal RNA
Source: RNAcentral